Molecule: ribosomal RNA, 462 nt
Filed under: uncultured bacterium
Lineage: Bacteria
Description: partial 16S ribosomal RNA
Rfam family: Bacterial small subunit ribosomal RNA
Source: RNAcentral
AGUGAACGCUGGCGGCGUGCCUAAUACAUGCCAGUCGAACGGAGAUUAAGUAGCUUGCUAUUUAAUCUUAGUGGCGCACGGGUGAGUAAUAUAUAGCUAACUUGCCCAUUACUAAGGGACAACAGUUGGAAACGACUGCUAAUACCUUAUACUCCGUAUCUAUAUAAGUAGAUACGGGAAAGUUUUUCGGUAAUGGAUAGGGCUAUAUCGUAUCAGCUAGUUGGUAAGGUAAUGGCUUACCAAGGCUAUGACGCGUAACUGGUCUGAGAGGAUGAUCAGUCACACUGGAACUGAGACACGGUCCAGACUCCUACGGGGAGCAGCAGUAGGGAAUAUUGCUCAAUGGGGGAAACCCUGAAGCAGCAACGCCGCGUGGAGGAUGACACUUUUCGGAGCGUAAACUCCUUUUCUUGGGAAAGAAUUAUGACGGUACCCAAGGAAUAAGCGCCGGCUAACUCCGUG